UACGUAGGGGCGAGCGUUGUCCGGAAUUACUGGGCGUAAAGAGCACGUAGGCGGGAACUUAAGUCAGGUGUGAAAGACCGUGGCUCAACCACGGGGUUGCAUUUGAAACUGAGUUUCUUGAGGGCAGGAGAGGAAAGCAGAAUUCCUGGUGUAGCGGUGAAAUGCGUAGAAAUCAGGAGGAAUACCAGUGGCGAAGGCGGCUUUCUGGACUGACUCUGACGCUGAGGUGCGAAAGCGUGGGUAGCAAACAGGAUUAGAUACCCGUGUAGUCCCU
RNAcentral lists this ribosomal RNA (274 nucleotides) under uncultured prokaryote. RNAcentral describes it as "partial 16S ribosomal RNA". It matches the Rfam family "Bacterial small subunit ribosomal RNA", at positions 524 to 798 of the family's 1533-position model. The record is from RNAcentral.